GAUGAACGCUGGCGGCGUGCUUAACACAUGCAAGUCGAACGAUGAAGCCCAGCUUGCUGGGUGGAUUAGUGGCGAACGGGUGAGUAACACGUGAGUAACCUGCCCUUGACUCUGGGAUAAGCCUGGGAAACUGGGUCUAAUACCGGAUACGACCAUUGCCCGCAUGGGUUGGUGGUGGAAAGCUUUUGUGGUUUUGGAUGGACUCGCGGCCUAUCAGCUUGUUGGUGAGGGAAUGGCUCACCAAGGCGACGACGGGUAGCCGGCCUGAGAGGGUGACCGGCCACACUGGGACUGAGACACGGCCCAGACUCCUACGGGAGGCAGCAGUGGGGAAUAUUGCACAAUGGGCGAAAGCCUGAUGCAGCGACGCCGCGUGAGGGAUGACGGCCUUCGGGUUGUAAACCUCUUUCAGUAGGGAAGAAGCGAGAGUGACGGUACCUGCAGAAGAAGCGCCGGCUAACUACGUG
RNAcentral lists this ribosomal RNA (467 nucleotides) under uncultured bacterium. RNAcentral describes it as "partial 16S ribosomal RNA". It matches the Rfam family "Bacterial small subunit ribosomal RNA", at positions 28 to 507 of the family's 1533-position model. The record is from RNAcentral.